GACGAACGCUGGCGGCGUGCCUAACACAUGCAAGUCGAACGGUCUAAUGCUUAACACUGAGUGUUCAGUAAUGUUGUAACAGCGAGAGCGCGAAGGAUGAGUGCUCCACGCAUAAAGAAAACUUGGCUGGCGCCGAGCCUUUGCGAAGGCGGCUGCCUAGUUGCG
RNAcentral lists this ribosomal RNA (165 nucleotides) under Desulfosporosinus cupriresistens. Its description in RNAcentral is "Desulfosporosinus sp. BG partial 16S ribosomal RNA". The record is from RNAcentral. Lineage: Bacteria; Bacillati; Bacillota; Clostridia; Eubacteriales; Desulfitobacteriaceae.